Molecule: ribosomal RNA, 800 nt
Filed under: Periconia festucae
Lineage: Eukaryota; Fungi; Ascomycota; Dothideomycetes; Pleosporales; Periconiaceae
Description: partial large subunit ribosomal RNA
Source: RNAcentral
UAGAACGGCGAGUGAAGCGGCAMCAGCUCAAAUUUGAAAUCUGGCUCCUUUGGGGUCCGAGUUGUAAUUUGCAGAGGGCGCUUUGGCGUUGGCGGCGGUCUAAGUUCCUUGGAACAGGACAUCGCAGAGGGUGAGAAUCCCGUAUGUGGUCGCCUGCCUUCGCCGUGUAAAGCCCCUUCGACGAGUCGAGUUGUUUGGGAAUGCAGCUCUAAAUGGGAGGUAAAUUUCUUCUAAAGCUAAAUACCGGCCAGAGACCGAUAGCGCACAAGUAGAGUGAUCGAAAGAUGAAAAGCACUUUGGAAAGAGAGUCAAACAGCACGUGAAAUUGUUAAAAGGGAAGCGCUUGCAGCCAGACUUGCCUGUAGUUGCUCACCCGGGCUACUGCCCGGGGCACUCUUCUGCAGGCAGGCCAGCAUCAGUUUGGGCGGUCGGAUAAAGGCCUCUGACACGUACUUCCCUUCGGGGUUGACAUAUAGGGGGGGCGCAAUGCGACCAGCCCGGACUGAGGUCCGCGCAUCUGCCAGGAUGCUGGCGUAAUGGCUGUAAGCGGCCCGUCUUGAAACACGGACCAAGGAGUCUAACAUCUAUGCGAGUGUUUGGGUGUCAAGCCCGAGCGCGUAAUGAAAGUGAACGGAGGUGGGAACCCCUCGGGGCGCACCAUCGACCGAUCCUGAUGUCUUCGGAUGGAUUUGAGUAAGAGCAUAGCUGUUGGGACCCGAAAGAUGGUGAACUAUGCUUGAAUAGGGUGAAGCCAGAGGAAACUCUGGUGGAGGCUCGCAGCGGUUCUGACGUGCAAAUCG